This is a long non-coding RNA of Oncorhynchus keta (chum salmon), 2009 nucleotides long. RefSeq lists it as uncharacterized. The transcript has 10 exons. NCBI's taxonomy places the organism in Eukaryota, Metazoa, Chordata, Actinopteri, Salmoniformes, Salmonidae. The record is from RefSeq and is a predicted model, not a curated record.
AGAGAGUUUAUGAGGACUGGGCUCUAACAGGGGGAGAGAGAGGUUAUGAAGACUGGGCUCUAACAGGGGGAGAGAGAGGUUAUGAAGACUGGGCUCUAACAGGGGGAGACAGAGAGGUUAUGAGGACUGGGCUCUAACAAGGGGAGAGAGAGGUUAUGAGGACUGGGCUCUAACAGGGGGAGAGAGAGGUUAUGAAGACUGGGCUCUAACAGGGGGAGAGAGAGGUUAUGAGGACUGGGCUCUAACAGGGGGAGAGAGAGGUUAUGAAGACUGGGCUCUAACAGGGGGAGACAGAGAGGUUAUGAAGACUGGGCUCUAACAGGGGGAGAGAGAGGUUAUGAGGACUGGCGUCGAACAGGGGGAGAGAGAGGUUAUGAGGACUGGGCUCUAACAGGGGGAGAGAGAGGUUAUGAAGACUGGGCUCUAACAGGGGGAGAGAGAGGUUAUGAGGACUGGCGUCGAACAGGGGGAGAGAGAGGUUAUGAGGACUGGGCUCUAACAGGGGGAGAGAGAGGUUAUGAAGACUGGGCUCUAACAGGGGGAGAGAGAGGUUAUGAGGACUGGGCUCUAACAGGGGGAGAGAGAGGUUAUGAAGACUGGGCUCUAACAGGGGGAGACAGAGAGGUUAUGAAGACUGGGCUCUAACAGGGGGAGAGAGAGGUUAUGAAGACUGGGCUCUAACAGGGGGAGAGAGAGGUUAUGAAGACUGGGCUCUAACAGGGGGAGACAGAGAGGUUAUGAAGACUGGGCUCUAACAGGGGGAGAGAGAGGUUAUGAAGACUGGGCUCUAACAGGGGGAGACAGAGAGGUUAUGAAGACUGGGCUCUAACAGGGGGAGACAGAGAGGUUAUGAAGACUGGGCUCUAACAGGGGGAGAGAGAGGUUAUGAAGACUGGGCUCUAACAGGGGGAGAGAGAGGUUAUGAAGACUGGGCUCUAACAGGGGGAGACAGAGAGGUUAUGAAGACUGGGCUCUAACAGGGGGAGACAGAGAGGUUAUGAAGACUGGGCUCUAACAGGGGGAGAGAGAGGUUAUGAAGACUGGGCUCUAACAGGGGGAGAGAGAGGUUAUGAAGACUGGGCUCUAACAGGGGGAGACAGAGAGGUUAUGAAGACUGGGCUCUAACAGGGGGAGACAGAGAGGUUAUGAAGACUGGGCUCUAACAGGGGGAGAGAGAGGUUAUGAAGACUGGGCUCUAACAGGGGGAGAGAGAGGUUAUGAAGACUGGGCUCUAACAGGGGGAGACAGAGAGGUUAUGAAGACUGGGCUCUAACAGGGGGAGACAGAGAGGUUAUGAAGACUGGGCUCUAACAGGGGGAGACAGAGAGGUUAUGAAGACUGGGCUCUAACAGGGGGAGAGAGAGGUUAUGAAGACUGGGCUCUAACAGGGGGAGACAGAGAGGUUAUGAAGACUGGGCUCUAACAGGGGGAGAGAGAGGUUAUGAAGACUGGGCUCUAACAGGGGGAGAGAGAGGUUAUGAAGACUGGGCUCUAACAGGGGGAGACAGAGAGGUUAUGAAGACUGGGGUCUAACAGGGGGAGAGAGAGGUUAUGAGGACUGGGCUCUAACAGGGGGAGAGAGAGGUUAUGAAGACUGGGCUCUAACAGGGGGAGAGAGAGGUUAUGAAGACUGGCGUCGAACAGGGGGAGAGAGAGGUUAUGAAGACUGGCGUCGAACAGGGGGACAGAGAGGUUAUGAGGACUGGGCUCUAACAGGGGGAGAGAGGUUAUGAAGACUGGGCUCUAACAGGGGGAGAGAGGUUAUGAGGACUGGGCUCUAACAGGGGGAGAGAGAGGUUAUGAAGACUGGGCUCUAACAGGGGGAGAGAGGUUAUGAGGACUGGGGUCUAACAGGGGGAGAGAGGUUAUGAGGACUGGGGUCUAACAGGGGAGAGAGGUUAUGAAGACUGGGCUCUAACAGGGGGAGAGAGAGGUUAUGAAGACUGGGCUCGAACAGGGGGAGAGAGAUGUUAUGAAGACUGAGCUCUUACAGGGGGGGACAGAGAGGU